GAUGAACGCUGGCGGCGUGCCUAACACAUGCAAGUCGAGCGAACAGACGAGGAGCUUGCUCCUCUGACGUUAGCGGCGGACGGGUGAGUAACACGUGGAUAACCUACCUAUAAGACUGGGAUAACUUCGGGAAACCGGAGCUAAUACCGGAUAAUAUAUUGAACCGCAUGGUUCAAUAGUGAAAGACGGUUUUGCUGUCACUAAUAGAUGGAUCCGCGCCGCAUUAGCUAGUUGGUAAGGUAACGGCUUACCAAGGCAACGAUGCGUAGCCGACCUGAGAGGGUGAUCGGCCACACUGGAACUGAGACACGGUCCAGACUCCUACGGGAGGCAGCAGUAGGGAAUCUUCCGCAAUGGGCGAAAGCCUGACGGAGCAACGCCGCGUGAGUGAUGAAGGUCUUCGGAUCGUAAAGCUCUGUUAUUAGGGAAGAACAAAUGUGUAAGUAACUAUGCACGUCUUGACGGUACCUAAUCAGAAAGCCACGGCUAACUACGUG
Molecule: ribosomal RNA, 497 nt
Filed under: uncultured bacterium
Lineage: Bacteria
Description: partial 16S ribosomal RNA
Rfam family: Bacterial small subunit ribosomal RNA
Source: RNAcentral